Molecule: ribosomal RNA, 253 nt
Filed under: uncultured bacterium
Lineage: Bacteria
Description: partial 16S ribosomal RNA
Rfam family: Bacterial small subunit ribosomal RNA
Source: RNAcentral
UACGAAGGGUGCAAGCGUUACUCGGAAUUAUUGGGCGUAAAGAGCUUGUAGGCGGUUUGUCGCGUCUGCCGUGAAAAUCCGGGGCUCAACCCCGGACUUGCGGUGGGUACGGGCAGACUAGAGUGUGGUAGGGGAGACUGGAAUUCCCGGUGUAGCGGUGAAAUGCGCAGAUAUCGGGAGGAACACCAAUGGCGAAGGCAGCUCGCUGGGACGGUACUGACGCUGAGACGCGAAAGCGUGGGGAGCAAACAGG